GGUAUUUGAGGUAGAUAUGUACAUGAAGGCAGGGUAAAGUGACUAGGCAUCAGGAUAGAUAAUAAUAUGGUAUUUGAGGUAGAUAUGUACAUGAAGGCAGGGUAAAGUGACUAGACAUCAGGAUAGAUAAUAAUAAGGUAUUUGAGGUAGAUAUGUACAUGAAGGCAGAGUAAAGUGACUAGGCAUCAGGAUAGAUAAUAAUAAGGUAUUUGAGGUAGAUAUGUACAUGAAGGCAGGGUAAAGUGACUAGGCAUCAGGAUAGAUAAUAAUAAGGUAUUUGAGGUAGAUAUGUACAUGAAGGCAGGGUAAAGUGACUAGGCAUCAGGAUAGAUAAUAAUAAGGUAUUUGAGGUAGAUAUGUACAUGAAGGCAGGGUUAA
Oncorhynchus tshawytscha (Chinook salmon) is the source of this 378-nucleotide long non-coding RNA. NCBI's taxonomy places the organism in Eukaryota, Metazoa, Chordata, Actinopteri, Salmoniformes, Salmonidae. The record is from Ensembl.